RNAcentral lists this transfer RNA (79 nucleotides) under Fusarium ambrosium. Its description in RNAcentral is "tRNA-Gly". It matches the Rfam family "tRNA". Rfam says of the family: Transfer RNA (tRNA) molecules are approximately 80 nucleotides in length. Their secondary structure includes four short double-helical elements and three loops (D, anti-codon, and T loops). Further hydrogen bonds mediate the characteristic L-shaped molecular structure. tRNAs have two regions of fundamental functional importance: the anti-codon, which is responsible for specific mRNA codon recognition, and the 3' end, to which the tRNAs corresponding amino acid is attached (by aminoacyl-tRNA synthetases). tRNAs cope with the degeneracy of the genetic code in two manners: having more than one tRNA (with a specific anti-codon) for a particular amino acid; and 'wobble' base-pairing, i.e. permitting non-standard base-pairing at the 3rd anti-codon position. Lineage: Eukaryota; Fungi; Ascomycota; Sordariomycetes; Hypocreales; Nectriaceae. RNAcentral also lists the same sequence under 8 other names. The record is from RNAcentral.
GCGUAAUUGGUUUAGUGGUAAAAUUCUCCGUUGCCAUUCGAGAAUCGGGGAGCCCUGGGUUCGAUUCCCAGAUUACGCA